RNAcentral lists this transfer RNA (68 nucleotides) under Podarcis lilfordi (Lilford's wall lizard). Its description in RNAcentral is "tRNA.Lys". The stretch from base 4 to 60 matches the Rfam family "tRNA", at positions 9 to 63 of the family's 71-position model. From Rfam's summary of the family: Transfer RNA (tRNA) molecules are approximately 80 nucleotides in length. Their secondary structure includes four short double-helical elements and three loops (D, anti-codon, and T loops). Further hydrogen bonds mediate the characteristic L-shaped molecular structure. tRNAs have two regions of fundamental functional importance: the anti-codon, which is responsible for specific mRNA codon recognition, and the 3' end, to which the tRNAs corresponding amino acid is attached (by aminoacyl-tRNA synthetases). tRNAs cope with the degeneracy of the genetic code in two manners: having more than one tRNA (with a specific anti-codon) for a particular amino acid; and 'wobble' base-pairing, i.e. permitting non-standard base-pairing at the 3rd anti-codon position. The record is from RNAcentral. Lineage: Eukaryota; Metazoa; Chordata; Lepidosauria; Squamata; Lacertidae.
GACAGCUCAAUUGGUAGAGCAUGAGACUCUUAAUCUCAGGGUUGUGGGUUUGAGCCCCAUGGUGGGCA